RNAcentral lists this ribosomal RNA (628 nucleotides) under uncultured Lachnospiraceae bacterium. RNAcentral describes it as "bacterial SSU rRNA". It matches the Rfam family "Bacterial small subunit ribosomal RNA", at positions 92 to 736 of the family's 1533-position model. The record is from RNAcentral. Lineage: Bacteria; Bacillati; Bacillota; Clostridia; Lachnospirales; Lachnospiraceae.
UUAGUGGCGGACGGGUGAGUAACGCGUGAGCAAUCUGCCUUUAAGAGGGGGAUAACAGUCGGAAACGGCUGCUAAUACCGCAUAAAGCAUCAAAUUCGCAUGUUUUUGAUGCCAAAGGAGCAAUCCGCUUUUAGAUGAGCUCGCGUCUGAUUAGCUAGUUGGCGGGGUAACGGCCCACCAAGGCGACGAUCAGUAGCCGGACUGAGAGGUUGAACGGCCACAUUGGGACUGAGACACGGCCCAAACUCCUACGGGAGGCAGCAGUGGGGAAUAUUGCACAAUGGGGGAAACCCUGAUGCAGCAACGCCGCGUGAGUGAAGAAGUAUUUCGGUAUGUAAAGCUCUAUCAGCAGGAAGGAAAAUGACGGUACCUGACUAAGAAGCCCCGGCUAACUACGUGCCAGCAGCCGCGGUAAUACGUAGGGGGCAAGCGUUAUCCGGAUUUACUGGGUGUAAAGGGAGCGUAGACGGUUUUGCAAGUCUGAAGUGAAAGCCCGGGGCUUAACCCCGGGACUGCUUUGGAAACUGUAGGACUAGAGUGCAGGAGAGGUAAGUGGAAUUCCUAGUGUAGCGGUGAAAUGCGUAGAUAUUAGGAGGAACACCAGUGGCGAAGGCGGCUUACUGGACUG